AGUAAAUAAUAAUUUAAAGGCAAAAAAUCACGUAAGAGCACUCCACCAUGCAAUAUGGGACAACACAACCCCUUUGAGAAAACAGUAAGUCCGGGAAAAUCCUUUAGAAAAUAUCUAACUCAGUUUCAAAACCACUUUUAUAAUUAUCUUUUACCAACAAUUAAUCAAGUAAAUGCGGGACAGGUGUGCAAGCCAGCACAAAAGUGAGCCUAUAGGCACAAGCAAGUAAGAAUAAUUUAGCUCGCAACUCGCCCUUCACGCAAUAUUCUUAUCUCUGGUCAGCCGCUAUUACCUGACGCAAUUACAUCAUACAGUGUCACUUUUACCAAUGUCUCAAAUUUAUCCACUUUGAAAGUGAUCAGAUAAUAUCAGAACAACAAAUAGAUAUCUCAAGAAAUGACACAAACAACAAAUGGUGCACAAAUGUAUGAAUGGAAUGC
Molecule: long non-coding RNA, 440 nt
Filed under: Nicotiana benthamiana
Lineage: Eukaryota; Viridiplantae; Streptophyta; Magnoliopsida; Solanales; Solanaceae
Description: long non-coding RNA (NBEN_LNC028206)
Source: RNAcentral